GUUCUUGCUUCGGCAGAACAUAUACCAAAAUUGGAAUGAUACAGAGAUGAUUAGCAUUUCCCCUGCGCAAGGAUGACACGCAAAAUUUGAAUCACUGAUCCAGCAACACUUCUUU
Molecule: small nuclear RNA, 115 nt
Organism: Scaptodrosophila lebanonensis
Lineage: Eukaryota; Metazoa; Arthropoda; Insecta; Diptera; Drosophilidae
Source: RefSeq, a predicted model, not a curated record